Molecule: long non-coding RNA, 3553 nt
Organism: Saimiri boliviensis boliviensis (Bolivian squirrel monkey)
Lineage: Eukaryota; Metazoa; Chordata; Mammalia; Primates; Cebidae
Source: RefSeq, a predicted model, not a curated record
GCCGGACGCGUCUCGCGCGCGCACCCGCCUGCCCCGGCUCUCAACGCUCUGAGCACAAGCUGAAAGCCCCGGAACGCGUCUGUGCCAUCCGCGAUGCGCUGGGCCGGCGCCUUUAAGAAGUCGCUGCAUGACGUUAUUUAUCCGCGACGCCCCCUCACCGUCGCUCCCCGCCCUCUCGCCCCCACCGCUGGAGGCGGCCAAUCAGAAGCCUCCUUCCUCCGCCCGCCUGGCUGCUGCGGGAGGUGCGGAAGGCUGAGAGUGACCGCUGCCGCGGUGGAGGGGUGUACGAACGGGCCAGGACUCGGUGGUUAACCCGCGGCCUCUGGAGCCGCGAGUUUGAAUCCUGGUUGCAGCUUUUCCACUUCCUAGCGGUGUGGCCAUGGGUAAGGUGCCCAUCCUCAGUUUCUCCGUCUGCAAAGUGAGAACGACUUUUUAGUGUUGUUGUGGACUCAGCGAGAUGACGCAUGCAAGCAAGGGCGCAAUCGCUGUAGCCUUCAUGAUUUAUGAGAGAAAAGGAGCUGCUCAGCGAGAGCUAGGAAAUGCUGAAGGAGUGCGCAGCAGGGAGGUAGAUGUUCAGAUUCAGACACCCAACCCUGUGAAGACCAAAGCUGUGACAGAAAAGAUCUCCGGGUCAGCUCAGCUGGCAGGGCAAUCCCCACAGCGUCUCAAGUUUCCCUGGAGGUUGCUCAGGGCACAUGGGAGUGUGGAAUGUAGCUACCAUUUUGUGAAAAUGCCAGGUACUCAAUAAGCCUCUAAAAAAUUAGCAAUUUUACGAGGACCAAGGACCAAAAGAAUAUGGUCAGCAUUCCAGACAAAACAGGAUGGGAUUUUCACUGAAGCAGCCCAUACUUUUCCUUUGACCAGCUCAAAGGCUCCAAUAAAGUCUUGGGUCUUUACUCUGAACCAGCCAAGGCUUUGGAGUCACUGGCAGGAAUCAGAGUAUCUGUUUUCAAGGCAGAAGAAUAGGUGGGGAGGGGAAUGCUGUGGAAGACGCACGCAUUUCCACUUCUUUCUAGAAAUGCAACUUAGUAUUCAUGGAUGCAAUGAUAAAAAUAUCUAGGAUUUGCUUCAAAACAAAACACAGGGUUGGGGAAGCAGAUGGGAGUGUAGAUAAAUCAAAAGUGGCCACAGUUGCUAAUUGUUAAAGCCACGUAAUGGGGAUGUGGAGAUUCAUUGUACUGUCUGUGUAUUUGUGUGGAUGUUGAAAAAAAAAUUUUUCUUUGAGACGGAGUCUUGCCCUGUUGCCCAGGCUGGAGUGCAGUGGCACGAUCUCUGCUCACUGCAACUUCUGCUUCCCGGGUUCAAGUGAUUCUCCUGCCUCAGCCCCCUAAGUAGCUGGGACUACAGGUGUGCACCACCAUACCCACUAAUUUUUGUAGAUUUAGUAGAGAUGGGCUUUCACCAUGCUGGCCAAGCUCGUCUCGAACUCCUGACCUUGUGAUCUGUCCACCUCAGCCUCCCAGAUUGCUGGGAUUACAGGCGUGAGCCACCACCCCCAGCCGAAAAAUAUAUUUAAAAAGGUAAGAAACACACGAGACAUGCAGCUUGGACUUAUCUUCUCCAUGAUACCUGCCCUGUAUCCCUGGGAGCAACUGACAUUCCUUUCCCCAAGCAGUUGCUGUACUUUGAACAUUGCUCCAGCAAGAAACUUACUGUAAUGGGUUUAUUGAUCCAUGUCACGUGCUAUAGUAAGUUUAUUGUGGUUCAGCAUGAACUCCAGGUGCCAAGCACAGUGCUUGGCGCAUAGUAGUGCCCACUGAAUGUUGGAUGGAGGGAGGGAUUUAAAAAAAAAAAAAAAGAAAAGAAAAGCAGCUGAACACCUGAUACUUAAUAAAUGUUUCCUGUACUGUGUUCUUUGUCUGUCCUUAGUUAAUUUGUGUUUGCCACUUUUCAGGUCAAAAACCAGGGAGAGUUCUCUACACAAUGUAGGUAUUAAUUGCUUGUUGUUCUAAUCUAUUCUUUAAAUAUCAGAGGUUCCAAAACAGAGAGCUCCAAUAACAGGAUCACUGUCAGGUAAACAAUUAUCCCAGAGUAGGAGGGCUGCCUUAGUUGAAGUAACUGGAGGUGAAUGGAGAUAAGUCAGGCAGGCUCUUCUGGGUAGAGGUGAACCUUCCCUGUUUUGACUGAAGGAGGAAAUGGAAUGACCAUCAAGAGAAAGGUGGUUGCUAGCUUGAGGGAAUCAUCUGUGCAAACAGGCCGCUAAUCAGCAGACUUUAUGUAUAGUUUUAAUACUGCCAACACUGUUUCUAAUAUUCCACACUAUUCCAUCGGCCUGGUGAACUCUUAUUCAUCCUUCAAAACCCAGGUUAAACAUGACUUUCAGGAAAUCUUCGACAGGCUUCCCAGGACAGAGUGUGUCAGCCCUCCGCAUGCUUCUGCUGCUGUGCUGUACUCACCACACUGCACUGUAAUUUACUGGCUUACAAGUCAGUUCCGCCGCUGGGUUGUGAGUUCCUCCAAGGCAGGACCUGCGCUGUAUCCACCUAUGUUCACAGGACUCACACAGUGCCUGGUGUGUAGUAGGUACCCCUUGAACGUUUUACAUAAUUAGAAGCAGCAUAUCAGGUAAAUGAGCAAAGCAAACUAUGGGAUGUAGGAUGUCAGACAAUAGGGAUUGGUGGACUUCUGGGAGCGGAAGAGCCUGUGUCCUCAGCUCUAGGUUAUUGCUCUGUGGGAUAAGGGCCCAGUGGUGUCAGAUCUAACAACUUUAAAAUAGAUUCUGAAAAUUCAGACUUACAUAUUGAAUAUUCUGGAUUUUCAACAUUAGCAAAUUAUUCCAUUUGGGUAAAAAAUGUAGCGUGGGUCUGCAGACAAGAUCUGGCUAUCAUUCGUUCAGAGGUAAUCAGAAAACCAUUAGUUUACUGAAAAUGUAUUUGACAAUCAAACGGAUGGUAGGUUGCCAAUAAAAUGUGUUGAGUGGAAUUCACGUACCCCAGAAAGCUCAUCCUUGUGCUGUGGGCAAGGAAGAGGGCCCAAGUAUGGGAGGAAGGGUUCAGGUGGCAGAGCCUACUCUCCCAGUGCUGUCGGAGCCACUCUUGCUUGAGGUGAAGUACUGUUUUGCAGUCUUUCUUGAUAUUGCUUAAACUGAGCCACCCUUGAUAUUGUGCCCAUCAGAAUGAUGGAUUAAAUGUUAUUGUUUCCAUACAUUCCAUUGGCAUCAGGUAUCAACUGUCAUUGUGAAACAUAUUACAAUGUAAGAGAUUUGAUAUUGUCCUAACAGUUUUAGUCUCUGGUGGCUAUACUGAGUUCCUCUGGUUUAGAGGUGAAACAGCCCAGAGAAAGGAUUUAUUUAUAUAUUUAUUUUUGGUCUGAAGACCAAAAAGAAUGUUUGCAAGAUAUUCAGACAUCAACAUCAUUCAAACAGUAUUCAUUCAACAACUGUUUUUAAAGCACCUGCUGUAUGAUACCUGCUAUAGAUACAGUGAUGGUGAAAGCAGACAUAAUUAUCUCUGUGGUAUUAUGGAAGCUUUUAUACUUUGUACUUUCCUCAACUUACAUUUUUUGUACUGAUCAUGCAUAACUUUUUUACAAUCAUUAAAAAAAAUGAAAGCAA